UGUACGGCUCCGAACGCGCCUGAUCUCGUCAGAUCUCGGAAGCUAAGCAGGGUCGGGCCUAGUUAGUACUUGGAUGGGAGAAACUAAACACAA
Molecule: ribosomal RNA, 93 nt
Filed under: Neogale vison (American mink)
Lineage: Eukaryota; Metazoa; Chordata; Mammalia; Carnivora; Mustelidae
Source: RNAcentral